UACGGAGGGUGCGAGCGUUGUCCGGAAUCACUGGGCGUAAAGGGCGCGUAGGCGGCCUGUUAAGUAGGGGGUGAAAUCCUGCGGCUUAACCGCAGGGCUGCCUUCUAAACUGUCAGGCUCGAGCACAGUAGAGGCAGGUGGAAUUCCCGGUGUAGCGGUGGAAUGCGUAGAUAUCUGGAGGAACACCGGUGGCGAAGGCGGCAUCCUGGACCAAUACUGACGCUGAGGAGCGAAAGCCAGGGGAGCAAACGGG
This 253-nucleotide ribosomal RNA is filed under the name uncultured bacterium. RNAcentral describes it as "partial 16S ribosomal RNA". It matches the Rfam family "Bacterial small subunit ribosomal RNA", at positions 524 to 776 of the family's 1533-position model. The record is from RNAcentral.